GUCCGGCGGAACUUCCGCCCACGAGACUGUUCUCUCUUCUGCAACCCUCCCCGGCUCUCCGUGCGCCCUCGGCCGACCGCCUCCCUCAAGGGGGCUCUGGUGCCCGGUAGGAGUGGGAGAAAAUGCCCGGGGCAAUUCACGCUAUGCGUACAGGGGCAGCACAUCCUGAGAAAAAGAUUACUCUGCGUAUGACAAGAAGCGUCGGUUCUCAUAAAACGGUUAAUUCUCCCAAGAAUACGCACAAGUUUCUCAAUCCUUCCAAAUUCCAACCACUUGGAAAUGUCAACCGAACAUACAUGUUGACCCGAACAGAGACAAGAUCUUUGGCAACUACACCAGCCUGGAACAAUCCCUGCUUUAUUUGCCCAGGAAAAUGGCGUCCUGCACAUUCUUCAACAGAGACUAAAGACAUUCUUCUUAGAAUCCAGGAAUGCCUUUGUGAAGUCAUGAACUUUUUCAGCCUUUGGUGCCAAAAGAAAGAAUUCAAACCAGCAUCCUGAUACAAACCACUCAGCGCUGAAUAUUCUUACUGUAUAUUCACAACAGUGAACAUUGGUACUUUAAUUAGGCUUGCUGAUAUGCUGUCAUUUCAGUGUUCGUGUAUAAUUCUUUAAAGCCCAACUAAUAUUGUUCUUUUUUCAUUAUAUGUCUCCUUUUUCUCCUAGCCCUAGAAAUAAACAUCCUUGAACAAUGAAAUAAAUCACAGAGUACAAAUGAA
Long non-coding RNA from Crotalus tigris (Tiger rattlesnake), 718 nucleotides. RefSeq lists it as uncharacterized. The record is from RefSeq and is a predicted model, not a curated record. The transcript has 2 exons. Lineage: Eukaryota; Metazoa; Chordata; Lepidosauria; Squamata; Viperidae.